GGACGGGGCCCGCACAAGCGGUGGAGCAUGUUGGUUUAAUUCGAAGCAACGCGAAGUAACCUUACCAGGUCUUGACAUCCCGAUGCUAUUUCUAGAGAUAGAAAGUUACUUCGGUACAUCGGUGACAGGUGGUGCAUGGUUGUCGUCAGCUCGUGUCGUGAGAUGUUGGGUUAAGUCCCGCAACGAGCGCGACCCCUAUUGUUAGUUGCCAUCAUUCAGUUGGGCACUCUAGCGAGACUGCCGGUAAUAAACCGGAGGAAGGUGGGGAUGACGUCAAAUCAUCAUGCCCCUUAUGACCUGGGCUACACACGUGCUACAAUGGUUGGUACAACGAGUUGCGAGUCGGUGACGGCGAGCUAAUCUCUUAAAGCCAAUCUCAGUUCGGAUUGUAGGCUGCAACUCGCCUACAUGAAGUCGGAAUCGCUAGUAAUCGCGGAUCAGCACGCCGCGGUGAAUACGUUCCCGGGCCUU
This 471-nucleotide ribosomal RNA is filed under the name uncultured Streptococcus sp. RNAcentral's name for it is "bacterial SSU rRNA". It matches the Rfam family "Bacterial small subunit ribosomal RNA", at positions 916 to 1381 of the family's 1533-position model. The record is from RNAcentral. Lineage: Bacteria; Bacillati; Bacillota; Bacilli; Lactobacillales; Streptococcaceae.